AAAUUGAAGAGUUUGAUCAUGGCUCAGAUUGAACGCUGGCGGCAGGCCUAACACAUGCAAGUCGAACGGUAACAGGAAGCAGCUUGCUGCUUYGCUGACGAGUGGCGGACGGGUGAGUAAURUCUGGGAAACUGCCUGAUGGAGGGGGAUAACUACUGGAAACGGUGGCUAAUACCGCAUAACGUCGCAAGACCAAAGAGGGGGACCUUCGGGCCUCUUGCCAUCAGAUGUGCCCAGAUGGGAUUAGCUKGUUGGUGAGGUAACGGCUCACCAAGGCGACGAUCCCUAGCUGGUCUGAGAGGAUGACCAGCCACACUGGAACUGAGACACGGUCCAGACUCCUACGGGAGGCAGCAGUGGGGAAUAUUGCACAAUGGGCGCAAGCCUGAUGCAGCCAUGCCGCGUGUAUGAAGAAGGCCUUCGGGUUGUAAAGUACUUUCAGCGGGGAGGAAGGUGUUGYGGUUAAUAACCRCAGCAAUUGACGUUACCCGCAGAAGAAGCACCGGCUAACUCCGUGCCAGCAGCCGCGGUAAUACGGAGGGUGCAAGCGUUAAUCGGAAUUACUGGGCGUAAAGCGCACGCAGGCGGUCUGUCAAGUCGGAUGUGAAAUCCCCGGGCUCAACCUGGGAACUGCAUUCGAAACUGGCAGGCUUGAGUCUUGUAGAGGGGGGUAGAAUUCCAGGUGUAGCGGUGAAAUGCGUAGAGAUCUGGAGGAAUACCGGUGGCGAAGGCGGCCCCCUGGACAAAGACUGACGCUCAGGUGCGAAAGCGUGGGGAGCAAACAGGAUUAGAUACCCUGGUAGUCCACGCCGUAAACGAUGUCUACUUGGAGGUUGUGCCCUUGAGGCGUGGCUUCCGGAGCUAACGCGUUAAGUAGACCGCCUGGGGAGUACGGCCGCAAGGUUAAAACUCAAAUGAAUUGACGGGGGCCCGCACAAGCGGUGGAGCAUGUGGUUUAAUUCGAUGCAACGCGAAGAACCUUACCUGGUCUUGACAUCCACRGAASUUUYCAGAGAUGGAYUGGUGCCUUCGGGAACYGUGAGACAGGUGCUGCAUGGCUGUCGUCAGCUCGUGUUGUGAAAUGUUGGGUUAAGUCCCGCAACGAGCGCAACCCUUAUCCUUUGUUGCCAGCGRUYMGGYCGGGAACUCAAAGGAGACUGCCAGUGAUAAACUGGAGGAAGGUGGGGAUGACCUUAACCUUCGGGAGGGCGCUUACCACUUUGUGAUUCAUGACUGGGGUGAAGUCGUAACAAGGUAACCGUAGGGGAACCUGCGGUUGGAUCACCUCCUUA
RNAcentral lists this ribosomal RNA (1292 nucleotides) under Salmonella enterica. RNAcentral's name for it is "bacterial SSU rRNA". Lineage: Bacteria; Pseudomonadati; Pseudomonadota; Gammaproteobacteria; Enterobacterales; Enterobacteriaceae. The record is from RNAcentral.